RNAcentral lists this ribosomal RNA (234 nucleotides) under uncultured Staphylococcus sp. RNAcentral describes it as "partial 16S ribosomal RNA". It matches the Rfam family "Bacterial small subunit ribosomal RNA", at positions 106 to 334 of the family's 1533-position model. The record is from RNAcentral. Lineage: Bacteria; Bacillati; Bacillota; Bacilli; Caryophanales; Staphylococcaceae.
GUGAGUAACACGUGGAUAACCUACCUAUAAGACUGGGAUAACUUCGGGAAACCGGAGCUAAUACCGGAUGAUAUUUUGAACCGCAUGGUUCAAAAGUGAAAGACGGUCUUGCUGUCACUUAUAGAUGGAUCCGCGCUGCAUUAGCUAGUUGGUAAGGUAACGGCUUACCAAGGCAACGAUGCAUAGCCGACCUGAGAGGGUGAUCGGCCACACUGGAACUGAGACACGGUCCAG